RNAcentral lists this ribosomal RNA (253 nucleotides) under uncultured archaeon. Its description in RNAcentral is "partial 16S ribosomal RNA". It matches the Rfam family "Archaeal small subunit ribosomal RNA", at positions 474 to 727 of the family's 1478-position model. The record is from RNAcentral.
AACCAGCACCUCAAGUGGUCAGGAUGAUUAUUGGGCCUAAAGCAUCCGUAGCCUGUUCUGUAAGUUUUCGGUUAAAUCCAUAAGCUCAACUUAUGGGCUGCCGAAAAUACUGCAGAACUAGGGAGUGGGAGAGGUAGACGGUACUCGGUAGGAAGGGGUAAAAUCCUUUGAUCUAUUGAUGACCACCUGUGGCGAAGGCGGUCUACCAGAACACGUUCGACGGUGAGGGAUGAAAGCUGGGGGAGCAAACCGG